AACGUAGGAGGCAAGCGUUAUCCGGAGUUACUGGGCGUAAAGCGCAUGUAGGCGGUUGUUCAAGUGGUGUGUGAAAGCGCCCGGCUAAACUGGGCGAGGACACAUCAGACUGGACGGCUAGAGGGGGCUAGAGGGGCGCAGAAUUCGGGGUGUAGCGGUGAAAUGUGUAGAGAUCCCGAGGAAUACCAGUGGUGAAGACGGCGCCCUGGGGCCUUACUGACGCUGAGAUGCGAAAGCGUGGGGAGCGAACGGG
RNAcentral lists this ribosomal RNA (253 nucleotides) under uncultured bacterium. RNAcentral's name for it is "partial 16S ribosomal RNA". It matches the Rfam family "Bacterial small subunit ribosomal RNA", at positions 524 to 776 of the family's 1533-position model. The record is from RNAcentral.